UACGUAGGGUGCAAGCGUUGUCCGAAAUUAUUGGGCGUAAAGAGCUCGUAGGCGGUUUGUCGCGUCUGCUGUGAAAUCCUGCUGCUUAACGGUGGGCUUGCGGUCGAUACGGGCAGACUAGAGUUCGGUAGGGGAGACUGGAAUUCCUGGUGUAGCGGUGAAAUGCGCAGAUAUCAGGAGGAACACCGGUGGCGAAGGCGGAUCUCUGGGCCGAUACUGACGCUGAGGAGCGAAAGCGUGGGGAGCGAACAGG
RNAcentral lists this ribosomal RNA (253 nucleotides) under uncultured bacterium. Its description in RNAcentral is "partial 16S ribosomal RNA". It matches the Rfam family "Bacterial small subunit ribosomal RNA", at positions 524 to 776 of the family's 1533-position model. The record is from RNAcentral.